AGAAUGUUAAACAAUGGAUCUGACUCCCUCGACAAGAUUCUCCAAAGUAGAAAAAUAACAGGAGACAAAUCUUGUGUUGGGUAUAAUGAAUCUAAGCCUGAGUGCAGUUACACUGGUUGCAAACCUCAAGCCAAACCUAAAUGUAGCCAUAGUAAAAGCAAACAUGUGAUGUCACAGCAUAUUUCACAACAUCAUAAGAG
RNAcentral lists this long non-coding RNA (200 nucleotides) under Lathyrus oleraceus (garden pea). RNAcentral describes it as "Pisum sativum (pea) long non-coding RNA (PSAT_LNC013542)". Lineage: Eukaryota; Viridiplantae; Streptophyta; Magnoliopsida; Fabales; Fabaceae. The record is from RNAcentral.